AGCGAACGCUGGCGGCAGGCCUAACACAUGCAAGUCGAACGAACCUUUCGGGUUGAGUGGCGGACGGGUGAGUAACACGUGGGAACGUGCCUUUAAGUUCGGAAUAACUCAGGGAAACUUGUGCUAAUACCGAAUGUGUCCUUCGGGGGAAAGAUUUAUCGGCUUUGGAGCGGCGCGCGUCUGAUUAGCUAGUUGGUUGAGGUAAUGGCUCACCAAGGCGAGGAGCAGUAGCUGGUCUGAGAGGAUGAUCAGCCACAUUGGGACUGAGACACGGCCCCAACUCCUACGGGAGGCAGCGGUGGGUAAUCUUGCGGAAGGGGCGAAAGCCUGACGCAGCCAUGCCGGGUGAAUGAUGAAGGUCUUAGGAUUGUAAAAUUCUUUCAGCGGAGACGAUAAUGACGGUACCCGGAGAAGAAGCCCCGGCUAACUACGUG
Molecule: ribosomal RNA, 434 nt
Filed under: uncultured bacterium
Lineage: Bacteria
Description: partial 16S ribosomal RNA
Rfam family: Bacterial small subunit ribosomal RNA
Source: RNAcentral